AGCAGCCGCGGUAAUUCCAGCUCCAAUAGCGUAUAUUAAAGUUGUUGCAGUUAAAAAGCUCGUAGUUGAAUUUCGGGAUCAAUACGUCUGUCGUGCCUUUGGUACGUACGGGUGUAAUUGGUUUCUACCUUCUGAGGAUCCUUGAUGUCAUUAAUUUGGUGUCUUGGGGAAUCAGGACUGUUACCUUGAAAAAAUUAGAGUGUUUAAAGCAGGCAUACGCUUGAAUACAUUAGCAUGGAAUAAUGAAAUAGGACGUUCGAUUCUAUUUUGUUGGUUUCUAGGAUCGACGUAAUGAUUAAUAGGGAUAGUUGGGGGCAUUAGUAUUCAAUUGUCAGAGGUGAAAUUCUUGGAUUUAUUGAAGACUAACUACUGCGAAAGCAUUUGCCAAGGAUGUUUUCAUUAAUCAAGAACGAAAGUUAGGGGAUCGAAGACGAUCAGAUACCGUCGUAGUCUUAACCAUAAACUAUGCCGACUAGGGAUCGGAUGAUGUUAAUUUUUAAUGACUCAUUCGGCGCCUUAA
This 520-nucleotide ribosomal RNA is filed under the name uncultured Glomus. RNAcentral describes it as "SSU rRNA". It matches the Rfam family "Eukaryotic small subunit ribosomal RNA", at positions 569 to 1091 of the family's 1831-position model. Lineage: Eukaryota; Fungi; Glomeromycota; Glomeromycetes; Glomerales; Glomeraceae. The record is from RNAcentral.